UAGGGAAUCUUCGGCAAUGGACGGAAGUCUGACCGAGCAACGCCGCGUGAGUGAAGAAGGUUUUCGGAUCGUAAAGCUCUGUUGUAAGAGAAGAACGAGUGUGAGAGUGGAAAGUUCACACUGUGACGGUAUCUUACCAGAAAGGGACGGCUAACUACGUGCCAGCAGCCGCGGUAAUACGGAAGGUCCGGGCGUUAUCCGGAUUUAUUGGGUUUAAAGGGAGCGUAGGCUGGAGAUUAAGUGUGUUGUGAAAUGUAGACGCUCAACGUCUGACUUGCAGCGCAUACUGGUUUCCUUGAGUACGCACAACGUUGGCGGAAUUCGUCGUGUAGCGGUGAAAUGCUUAGAUAUGACGAAGAACUCCGAUUGCGAAGGCAGCUGACGGGAGCGCAACUGACGCUGAAGCUCGAAGGUGCGGGUAUCGAACAGGAUUAGAUACCCUGGUAGUCCGCACAGUAAACGAUGGAUGCCCGCUGUUGGUACUUGGUAUCAGCGGCUAAGCGAAAGCAUUAAGCAUCCCACCUGGGGAGUACGCCGGCAACGGUG
Molecule: ribosomal RNA, 546 nt
Filed under: uncultured bacterium
Lineage: Bacteria
Description: bacterial SSU rRNA
Rfam family: Bacterial small subunit ribosomal RNA
Source: RNAcentral